Molecule: long non-coding RNA, 759 nt
Organism: Diceros bicornis minor
Lineage: Eukaryota; Metazoa; Chordata; Mammalia; Perissodactyla; Rhinocerotidae
Exons: 3
Source: RefSeq, a predicted model, not a curated record
AAACGCGUUGCCUGCGUCACCUAGCGUUUUACCGAAUUUCAGUCAUCUGCUCGAACAGGCACAGCUUCCGAGUACCCUUAUUGCUGCCGCGUCCUUCCGCCCUCCCUCUCCUCCCGUCCACCGCACACUUGCUGUGUUGUCCCCACUUCUCCUCGCCCGUCCUCUCACUCAGCGGAUGACCAGUGCCCAGGCCACUGAAAAAUCGGAAACACUCCAUCCCAACGCCAAGAACAGUCUGGCACUUAGCAGUCCCGUGGCUUUGGAGACUUCUGUCCGCUGAUGAUACCCAGCAGCUGUGGCCCAAAGCCCCGAUCCUUCCCUGAACUCACGCAUCUAACUGCCCACAGGAGACCUCCCUUCCGUCGCUCCAGCCACCGUCCUGAUCUCCCCAAAGCUGUCCUACUGCAUCUUCCCCAUCUCAGUUAAGGAAAACUCCAUUUUCCAGAAUGCCAACUCCAGGAGCAGGGGUUCCUGCUGACUCCUUCACUGCUGUGUCCCCCUCCUGGAACAGCAUCUGGAACAGAGUGACCAGGCACUCAACAAACAUGUAUGGAAUGAAUGAGCCUGUGCCCCUUUACCACUGGUAAUACUGACAAUACUUUUUCUUUAUGUUGGCUUUUCAUUCCAAUAAAUGUAUUUUACAAGGAAACAAUAUUACUGCCCCAGACGGAACACUGCUCUCACUCACCUGAAUAGAAGCAACAGCAGAGGCUGGCCCGGUGGCGCAAGCGGUUAAGUGCGCGCGCUCUGCUGCGGCGG